Molecule: signal recognition particle RNA, 93 nt
Filed under: Rickettsiales bacterium
Lineage: Bacteria; Pseudomonadati; Pseudomonadota; Alphaproteobacteria; Rickettsiales
Description: signal recognition particle sRNA small type
Rfam family: Bacterial small signal recognition particle RNA
About the family: The signal recognition particle (SRP) is a universally conserved ribonucleoprotein involved in the co-translational targeting of proteins to membranes. Archaeal SRP consists of a 7S RNA and homologues of the eukaryotic SRP19 and SRP54 proteins.
Source: RNAcentral
GGAAGAUCUUCUUGGAUGCACUAUAUACGAAUCCAGUCAGGUCUGAAAAGAAGCAGCUGUAGUAUGGACGUGUAGGUUAAGAGAUCUUCCAAA